GGAGGUAUAGCUCAGUAGCAGAGCGAGUUUUUGGUGUGCCCAAGGUCCUGGGUUCAACCCCCAGUGCCUCUG
Molecule: transfer RNA, 72 nt
Filed under: Camelus bactrianus (Bactrian camel)
Lineage: Eukaryota; Metazoa; Chordata; Mammalia; Artiodactyla; Camelidae
Also listed under: 1 other name
Rfam family: tRNA
About the family: Transfer RNA (tRNA) molecules are approximately 80 nucleotides in length.
Source: Rfam by way of RNAcentral